GCUUCAAUUUUUUUGUCUCCGCGAGGGCUGGCUGAGUCCCUGUGGUCCUCUGGACACCGCCUCUAGCUUGGGCCCGGGGUCCACGCCCUGGCAUGACGGAUGGCUGCACGCCCUCGCCCGGCUUCCAGGGCCCGGUCUUCUGGGCUGUGUCCGGAUCCCAACCAGGCUGGCGUGUCAGCUUGUCUCAAGACUACAUGGCCACCAGUCUCUAUAGGGUCUCUGGUCCUGGCACACACGAGGUUGAUUUGAGCCCUCUGAGCAUCUCUGGCAAGUUUGGGGUUUGAUUCUAAGCAUGAACUCGCCUCUCCUACCGUCUUGCUGGGGCUUCUCAGCCCUUGGACUUGGGGUAUCUCCUCACAGCUGCUCCAGCGCCACGAAGCUGCUGCUCGAGCCUACUGUCUUGCUGGGGCUUCUCCGACCUUGAACAUGGGACAGACUGAAAACCACAAUCACAAAAAACUAACCAAUCUGAUCACAUGGAUCACAGCCUUGUCUACCUCAAAGAAACUAUGAGCCAUGCUGUGUAGGGCCACCCAAGACCGAUGGAUCAUGGUGGAGAGUUCUGACAAAACGUGGUCUACUGGAGAAGGGAAUGGCAAAACACUUCAGCAUUCUUGCCUUGAGAACCCCAUGAACAGUAUGAAAAGGCAAAACGAUAAGACACGGAAAGAUGAACUCCCCAGGCUGGUAGGUACCCAAUAUGCUACUGGAGAUCAGUGGAGAAAUAACUCCAAAAAGAAUGAAGGGAUGGAGCCAAAGCAAAAACAAUACCCAGUUGUGGAUGUGAUUGGUGAUGGAAGCAAGGUCUAAUGCUGUAAAGAGCAAUACUGCAUAGGAACCUGGAAUGUGAGGUCCAUGAAUCAAGGCAAAUUGGAAGUGGUCAAACAGGAGAUGGCAAGAGUUAAUGUCGACAUUUUAGCAAUCAGUGAAAUAAAAUGGACUGGAAUGGGUAAACUGAACUCAGAUGACCAUGAAUAUCUACUAUGGGCAAGAAUCCCUUAGAAGAAAUGGAGUAGCCCUCACAGUCAACCAAAGAGUCUGAAACGCAGUACUUGGAUGCAAUCUCAAAAAUGACAGAAUGAUCUCUGUUCAUUUCCAAGACACACCAUUCAAUAUCAUAGUAAUCCAAAUUUAUGCCCCGACCAGUAAUGCUGAAGAAGCUGACGCUGAACGGUUCUGUGAAGACCUACAAGACUUUCUAGAACUAACACCCCCAAAAGAUUGCCUUUUCAUUAUAGGAGACUGGAAUGCAAAAGUAAGAAGUCAAGAGAUACUCAAAAUUAACAGACAAGUUU
Bos taurus (domestic cattle) is the source of this 1295-nucleotide long non-coding RNA. Lineage: Eukaryota; Metazoa; Chordata; Mammalia; Artiodactyla; Bovidae. The record is from Ensembl.